AGUUGGUGGAGCGAUUUGUCUGGUUAAUUCCGAUAACGAACGAGACUCUGGCUUGCUAAAUAGUUGCGCCACCCGCCGAGGUGGGCGACAACUUCUUAGAGGGACUAGUGGCGUUUAGCCACGCGAGAUUGAGCAAUAACAGGU
Molecule: ribosomal RNA, 144 nt
Filed under: Metazoa environmental sample
Lineage: Eukaryota; Metazoa
Description: partial small subunit ribosomal RNA
Rfam family: Eukaryotic small subunit ribosomal RNA
Source: RNAcentral